AAAGUUAUAAUAUACGGAUGUUAGAAAAUUUCACAAUUAGAUGUUAUGGAAUGGAAGACUCUACAAACUGUGGAAGGAUAGGCUUAUAAUCGGUGUUUGAUAAGAGGGGUACAUUGAUGGAUGUCGAUAAGAAUGUGGGGUCACACCAACCAGCUGGAUUUUUUCAAUGUAUUUUUUUUAAAUUUUUAGGUUUUUCCCUUUUGUUUUGAGAAUUAUUUUCUUGAAAAUAAAAAUAAAAUAAAAUCAAGGAAGAAAGGUGAAAAAGAAAGGUUUUUAUAGUGCGAAGGCCCAUCUUGAUGGAAGGUUUGAAACGACGGAUGCAUGCAUUUGUGAACCCUGAAAGUAUAGAUUAUAUCACACAAACGGGUAUCACACAAGUUAUAUAU
Molecule: long non-coding RNA, 386 nt
Filed under: Capsella rubella
Lineage: Eukaryota; Viridiplantae; Streptophyta; Magnoliopsida; Brassicales; Brassicaceae
Description: long non-coding RNA (CRUB_LNC001835)
Source: RNAcentral